CGGUAACAUUUCUAGCUUGCUAGAAGAUGACGAGUGGCGGACGGGUGAGUAAUACUUAGGAAUAUGCCUUUGUGUGGGGGAUAACUAUUGGAAACGAUAGCUAAUACCGCAUAACGUCUUUGGACCAAAGAGGGCUUUCGGGCUCUCGCGCAAAGAGUGGCCUAAGUGAGAUUAGCUUGUUGGUGAGGUAAAGGCUCACCAAGGCGACGAUCUCUAGCUGUUCUGAGAGGAAGAUCAGCCACACUGGGACUGAGACACGGCCCAGACUCCUACGGGAGGCAGCAGUGGGGAAUAUUGCACAAUGGGGGCAACCCUGAUGCAGCCAUGCCGCGUGUGUGAAGAAGGCCUUCGGGUUGUAAAGCACUUUCAGUUGUGAGGAAAGGUUGGUGGUUAAUACCCAUCAGCUGUGACGUUAGCAACAGAAGAAGCACCGGCUAACUCCGUGCCAGCAGCCGCGGUAAUACGGAGGGUGCGAGCGUUAAUCGGAAUUACUGGGCGUAAAGCGCACGCAGGCGGUUAUAUAAGCUAGAUGUGAAAGCCCCGGGCUCAACCUGGGAAUAGCAUUUAGAACUGUAUGACUAGAGUCUUGGAGAGGGGGGUGGAAUUCCAGGUGUAGCGGUG
Molecule: ribosomal RNA, 621 nt
Filed under: uncultured bacterium
Lineage: Bacteria
Description: bacterial SSU rRNA
Rfam family: Bacterial small subunit ribosomal RNA
Source: RNAcentral